UAUAAUUAUUGCCACCAUGUACAGCAUUUUGUUUAUAAAACAUUUUUUCUGUUAGCAAGUAAUUAAGAGCAAAGUUCAAACACAAUACUUAUGAACUUUCUUGGUGAGCAAUUGUACAAAGCAGUAUGUAGUUAACAGUAAUUCCACCUUGUUUUCUUCAAGAGCAACACAGGAAGAUUAAGUCGGACACACUCCUCAGGUGAAUCAAACAGUGUCAGCAAAUCUCUUGGACUGAGAAGUCAGACUUUACACCAUGCUUUGCAUAUCUUUUUCACAUAAAGAUCAGAUACUUACCAAAAAAAGGACUGCACAUUCAGGAGAACAUCUGACGUGAGUCUCUACUGUGAUUUUGACCCUGAGUCCCUGCAACCGAACACUUCAUGAUCAUGGCACAGGAAGACACUUUUUCUUUAACAUUCCUUGAAAUAUUGCAACAGCUGCCAAAAAGAGUCCUGUCAUACUGA
This 464-nucleotide long non-coding RNA is filed under the name Castor canadensis (American beaver). RNAcentral describes it as "lncRNA (ENSCCNG00000026894.1)". The record is from RNAcentral. Lineage: Eukaryota; Metazoa; Chordata; Mammalia; Rodentia; Castoridae.